GGGUCCUAGGCAACCUGUUCUAGUGUCUGAUUUAGCGGUUGGCAACCCUGCCCAGGGGAGCUGAAACUAGAUGGUGUUUCAGAUCUCUUCCAGCCCAAGCCAUUCUAUGAUUCUAUGAUUAAAACUAUCUCAGAAAUCGCUGCCACCAAACCACAGAAUGACGAAAUGGCUGAGACUGGAUGGGACACCUCUGGAAGUUAUCUGAUCCAACCCCCUUAUCCAAGCAGAGACACCCAGAGCAGAUAGCCUAGGACCAUGGCCAGAUGGUUUUUGAAGAUCUCCAAAGAAGGGCACUCCACAAUCUCUCUGGGUACCCUCUGCAAGUGCUCUGGCAUCUACCCAAUAAUGAAAUGUAAGCAAAGGAGGAGUCAUCUCAAAAUAAAUCUAUACAUACCUCUCCAA
Long non-coding RNA from Gallus gallus (chicken), 402 nucleotides. RefSeq lists it as uncharacterized. The record is from RefSeq and is a predicted model, not a curated record. Lineage: Eukaryota; Metazoa; Chordata; Aves; Galliformes; Phasianidae. The transcript is spliced from 2 exons.